RNAcentral lists this transfer RNA (206 nucleotides) under Candidatus Woesearchaeota archaeon. RNAcentral describes it as "tRNA-Asp". The record is from RNAcentral. Lineage: Archaea; Nanobdellati; Candidatus Woesearchaeota.
GCCCUGGUGGUGUAAUCCGGUUCAGCAUGAAGCCCUGUCGCGGCUUCGAUUCGGGUUCAAAACAACCUUUUGCCAAAAGCAGUCGAAUGUGAGCGAGUUCGCAACGAGCUCACUCGCAAGUCACGGGAAAAGCAUGCAAUGUGGGAUUUCGCAUUGCUCAAUCCCACGGAACGAUGGUAAGGUUUAUGAAAGUCCCGACCAGGGCG